UACGUAGGGGGCGAGCGUUGUCCGGAUUUAUUGGGCGUAAAGAGCUCGUAGGCGGCCUGGUUAGUCGGGUGUGAAAGCCCGAGGCUCAACCUCGGAAUUGCAUUCGAUACUGCUGGGCUUGAGGCAGGUAGGGGAGGAUGGAAUUCCCGGUGUAGCGGUGGAAUGCGCAGAUAUUGGGAGGAACACCUGCGGCGAAAGGCGGUCCUCUGGGCCUGUCCUGACGCUGAGGAGCGAAAAGCGU
Molecule: ribosomal RNA, 241 nt
Filed under: uncultured bacterium
Lineage: Bacteria
Description: partial 16S ribosomal RNA
Rfam family: Bacterial small subunit ribosomal RNA
Source: RNAcentral